RNAcentral lists this transfer RNA (16 nucleotides) under Acheilognathus typus (zenitanago). Its description in RNAcentral is "partial tRNA-Pro". Lineage: Eukaryota; Metazoa; Chordata; Actinopteri; Cypriniformes; Acheilognathidae. The record is from RNAcentral.
AUUAAACUAUUUUCUG